RNAcentral lists this ribosomal RNA (457 nucleotides) under uncultured bacterium. RNAcentral's name for it is "partial 16S ribosomal RNA". It matches the Rfam family "Bacterial small subunit ribosomal RNA", at positions 338 to 795 of the family's 1533-position model. The record is from RNAcentral.
CCUACGGGUGGCAGCAGUGGGGAAUAUUGCACAAUGGGGGAAACCCUGAUGCAGCGACGCCGCGUGAGUGAAGAAGUAUUUCGGUACGUAAAGCUCUAUCAGCAGGGAAGAAAAAAAGUCCUUUGGACUUUGGACGGUACCUGACCAAGAAGCCCCGGCUAACUACGUGCCAGCAGCCGCGGUAAUACGUAGGGGGCAAGCGUUAUCCGGAUUUACUUGGUGUAAUGGGAGCGUAGGCGGCAGCGCAAUUCUGGAGGGAAAUGCCGGGGGCGAACCCCGGAACUGCUUUUGAAACUGGGCAGCUGGAGUGCAGGAGAGGUAAGCGGAAUGCGUAGUGUAGCGGUGAAAUGCGUAGAUAUUAGGAGGAACACCAGUGGCGAAGGCGGCUUACUGGAGUGUAACUGACGUUGAGGCACGAAAGCGUGGGGAGCAAACAGGAUUAGAUACCCCAGUAGUC